GCCUUUUUUUUUUAAUUUUGAAAGACCUUAUUUUGUCAGAAGCAUUUUGUCGAACUUUUGAACAUAAUAAUUUUAUUUAUAGAUUUUUCGUAUAAAUUACAAGUACACAAAAAUUAUUUGCGAAAUUGUCUGAAAUGUACAGAAGAGGUAUUCUAUAUAUACUGGAAAGACAUCUGCUCCGGGACGGAAGAAAUUAGAAAAUAUUUAACUGGCCAAGGUCUGCAAUACUCAACCUGCCAACCUGUGGGCUGGGAAAUGAAUAUUUCUUAUUUUCGUAAAAUGCUUCUUUGACUAACUUACGGCUCCUAUAAGAAACCGUCAACUGCAGACCUCUAAUAUAGACACGUUCAAAAUCUAUCAAUUCGUUGGAGAUUUACUUUAGACUGUUUAAAACUCA
Long non-coding RNA from Gordionus sp. m RMFG-2023, 397 nucleotides. RefSeq lists it as uncharacterized. The transcript has 3 exons. NCBI's taxonomy places the organism in Eukaryota, Metazoa, Nematomorpha, Gordioida, Chordodea, Parachordodidae. The record is from RefSeq and is a predicted model, not a curated record.